GACGAACGCUGGCGGCGCGCCUAACACAUGCAAGUCGAACGAGCGAAAGAGAGCUUGCUUUCUCGAGCGAGUGGCGAACGGGUGAGUAACGCGUGAGGAACCUGCCUCAAAGAGGGGGACAACAGUUGGAAACGACUGCUAAUACCGCAUAAGCCCACGACCCGGCAUCGGGUUGAGGGAAAAGGAGCAAUCCGCUUUGAGAUGGCCUCGCGUCCGAUUAGCUGGUUGGUGAGGUAACGGCCCACCAAGGCAACGAUCGGUAGCCGGACUGAGAGGUUGAACGGCCACAUUGGGACUGAGACACGGCCCAGACUCCUACGGGAGGCAGCAGUGGGGAAUAUUGCACAAUGGGGGAAACCCUGAUGCAGCGACGCCGCGUGGAGGAAGAAGGUCUUCGGAUUGUAAACUCCUGUCGUAAGGGACGAUAGUGACGGUACCUUACAAGAAAGCCACGGCUAACUACGUGCCAGCAGCCGCGGUAAAACGUAGGUGGCAAGCGUUGUCCGGAAUUACUGGGUGUAAAGGGAGCGCAGGCGGGUCUGCAAGUUGGAAGUGAAACCCAUGGGCUCAACCCAUGAACUGCUUUCAAAACUGCGGAUCUUGAGUGGUGUAGAGGUAGGCGGAAUUCCCGGUGUAGCGGUGGAAUGCGUAGAUAUCGGGAGGAACACCAGUGGCGAAGGCGGCCUACUGGGCACUAACUGACGCUGAGGCUCGAAAGCAUGGGCAGCAAACAGG
Molecule: ribosomal RNA, 735 nt
Filed under: uncultured bacterium
Lineage: Bacteria
Description: bacterial SSU rRNA
Rfam family: Bacterial small subunit ribosomal RNA
Source: RNAcentral